This 396-nucleotide ribosomal RNA is filed under the name uncultured bacterium. RNAcentral's name for it is "partial 16S ribosomal RNA". It matches the Rfam family "Bacterial small subunit ribosomal RNA", at positions 523 to 918 of the family's 1533-position model. The record is from RNAcentral.
AUACGAAGGGUGCAAGCGUUAAUCGGAAUUACUGGGCGUAAAGCGCGCGUAGGUGGUUCAGCAAGUUGGAUGUGAAAGCCCCGGGCUCAACCUGGGAACUGCAUCCAAAACUACUGAGCUAGAGUACGGUAGAGGGUGGUGGAAUUUCCUGUGUAGCGGUGAAAUGCGUAGAUAUAGGAAGGAACACCAGUGGCGAAGGCGACCACCUGGACUGAUACUGACACUGAGGUGCGAAAGCGUGGGGAGCAAACAGGAUUAGAUCCCCUGGUAGUCCACGCCGUAAACGAUGUCAACUAGCUGUUGGGUUCCUUGAGAACUUAGUAGCGAAGCUAACGCGAUAAGUUGACCGCCUGGGGAGUACGGCCGCAAGGUUAAAACUCAAAUGAAUUGGCGGGG